Molecule: long non-coding RNA, 1236 nt
Filed under: Equus caballus (horse)
Lineage: Eukaryota; Metazoa; Chordata; Mammalia; Perissodactyla; Equidae
Description: lncRNA (ENSECAG00000050024.1)
Source: RNAcentral
AACUCUCAAGGUUAAUUCUCUUAGUGCCCCACCUGGAUCCUCUUUACAGGCAGUGCGCCCACCCCCUGGCUGCUGUUUGUGUUGCCUGAUGACAAUUCACAGCUGCCCCUACUCCUGAAAAUAGUCCUCAGCCAAAUAGAAGUCUCCUUGCCCAGGAGGCAACACCCGCUACUGCCCAGGGCAGAUCUCAGCCAAUGGCAGCAGACUUAAUGGGACAAAAAGCUGGCCCCCUUGCCUGAAGCUGGGCUUAGUUUUACGGUGAAACUCCAGCCUCUCUGUGGAAUCAAACUGAAACUAAUCUUUAGCAGUCUUGUUGCUCAGGAACCAAACUUUAAGACAGCUGGCAUCAGAAAUGGUCUCAGGAAGCUGACUCUGAGGAUGGGAUUCUGGAGUUGGCUUGCUUGCUGGCUGGAUGGCAAUGAAGACCCCAUAGCUGAAGGAUGAAGGAGGAGCCUGUCAGAGGAGAAGGCAAUGUGAUGCUAGAAGCAGAGGUUGGAGGGGAUACACUUUGAAGAUGGAGGAAGGGGCCACAAGCCAAGGGAUACAGGCAGCCACUAGAAGCUAAAAAAGGCAAGGAAGUGAAUUCUCCCUUAGAGACUCCAGAAGGAACCAGCCCUGCUAACACCUUGACUUUGGCCCAUCGAAACUGGUUUUUGGACUUUUGACCUCCAGAACUAUCAAGACUAAAUUUAUAUUAUUUUAAGGCACUAGUUUGUAGAAUUUGUUGCAGGAGCAAAAGGAAACUAAUAUACCAUCUCAACUCAUUUAAUGCUGACUAGUUGGAAACCACAGAUUGAUAUGUCAGUGAGACACACCAUCCAGUCUCAAAUCAUGUCUAUCCCUCUCCUGAAUGGAUUUCUCAGUUCUGUCCACUUUUUCCAUCUCUGCUGUUGCUGUCCUAGCCCAGGCCCCUCUCACCUGCUCUACUAUAAUGGAUUUCUCCCCUUCAAAUCCCAUUCUCUUUCUUUUAGCCAAAGUGGUUAUGUUUUGUUUUGUUUUUACAAAUCAGACCAUGUCAUUCCUCUGCUUCAGACCGACCUAGUGGCUGCUCACUGCCCUCAGGAUAAAGCCUCAGGGAUAAACAGAGUCACUAGGUUGAAAGGCUCCUCACUGCUUGCAGACGCUCUGGGAAACAGGCCCUGUUGGGCUCUACAGCACUCAGUUCAGGGGUUUAUGUGGGCUGGACUGUGUUAGGCUGGGGAGGGUGUGGGGUUGAGGGUGAUAAAUGGGGACUGU